GACGAACGCUGGCGGCGUGCCUAAUACAUGCAAGUCGAACGAACCGCGACUAAGUGCUUGCACUAAGUCAAGGUGAGUGGCGAACGGGUGAGUAACACGUGGGUAACCUACCUCAUAGUGGGGGAUAACAGUCGGAAACGACUGCUAAUACCGCAUAGGACAUAGGAUCACAUGAUCCAGUGAGGAAAGGUGGCGCAAGCUAUCGCUAAGAGAUGGACCCGCGGUGCAUUAGCUAGUUGGUAGGGUAAAGGCCUACCAAGGCGAUGAUGCAUAGCCGACCUGAGAGGGUGAUCGGCCACAUUGGGACUGAGACACGGCCCAAACUCCUACGGGAGGCAGCAGUAAGGAAUCUUCCGCAAUGGACGCAAGUCUGACGGAGCAACGCCGCGUGAGUGAAGAAGGUCUUCGGAUCGUAAAGCUCUGUUGUUAGAGAAGAACAGCGCAUAGAGUAACUGCUAUGCGUGUGACGGUAUCUAACCAGAAAGCCACGGCUAACUACGUG
Molecule: ribosomal RNA, 502 nt
Filed under: uncultured bacterium
Lineage: Bacteria
Description: partial 16S ribosomal RNA
Rfam family: Bacterial small subunit ribosomal RNA
Source: RNAcentral